RNAcentral lists this ribosomal RNA (253 nucleotides) under uncultured bacterium. Its description in RNAcentral is "partial 16S ribosomal RNA". It matches the Rfam family "Bacterial small subunit ribosomal RNA", at positions 524 to 776 of the family's 1533-position model. The record is from RNAcentral.
UACGUAGGAUCCAAGCGUUGUCCGGAUUUACUGGGUGUAAAGGGUGCGCAGGCGGACUUGUUAGUCAGGGGUGAAAUCUCACAGCUUAACUGUGAAACUGCCUUUGAUACUGCAAGUCUUGAAUUGGGGAGAGGUGAGUGGAACUGCGAGUGUAGAGGUGAAAUUCGUAGAUAUUCGCAAGAACACCAGUGGCGAAGGCGGCUCACUGGCCCGAUACUGACGCUGAGGUGCGAAAGCGUGGGGAGCAAACAGG